GCCAAUUUGGCUCAGAGGACAGAGCAUUGGCCUACAGACUGAAGAGUCCCAGUUCGAUUCUGGGCAGGGGCA
Molecule: transfer RNA, 72 nt
Filed under: Myotis davidii
Lineage: Eukaryota; Metazoa; Chordata; Mammalia; Chiroptera; Vespertilionidae
Rfam family: tRNA
About the family: Transfer RNA (tRNA) molecules are approximately 80 nucleotides in length. Their secondary structure includes four short double-helical elements and three loops (D, anti-codon, and T loops).
Source: Rfam by way of RNAcentral